This 1469-nucleotide ribosomal RNA is filed under the name uncultured Coxiella sp. RNAcentral describes it as "bacterial SSU rRNA". It matches the Rfam family "Bacterial small subunit ribosomal RNA". The record is from RNAcentral. Lineage: Bacteria; Pseudomonadati; Pseudomonadota; Gammaproteobacteria; Legionellales; Coxiellaceae.
AGAUUGAACGCUGGCGGCAUGCCUAACACAUGCCGAAGUCGAACGGUAACAGGCUGGAGCUUGCUCUAGCGCUGACGAGUGGCGGACGGGUGAGUAAUGCGUAGGGAUCUGCCUUUGGGAGGGGGACAACUCGGGGAAACUCGAGCUAAUACCGCGUAAUGUCUACGGACUAAAGUGGGGGAUCUUCGGACCUCACGCCUAAAGAGGAGCCUACGUCGGAUUAGCUAGUUGGUGGGGUAAAGGCCUACCAAGGCGAUGAUCCGUAGCUGGUUUGAGAGAAUGGCCAGCCACACUGGGACUGAGACACGGCCCAGACUCCUACGGGAGGCAGCAGUGGGGAAUAUUGGACAAUGGGGGCAACCCUGAUCCAGCGAUGCCGCGUGUGUGAAGAAGGCCUGAGGGUUGUAAAGCACUUUUAGUUAAGAAGAAAGAGUCCUUGUGAAUAAUGAGGAAAGAUGACGUUAUUAACAGAAAAAGCACCGGCUAACUCUGUGCCAGCAGCCGCGGUAAUACAGAGGGUGCGAGCGUUAAUCGGAAUUACUGGGCGUAAAGCGCGCGUAGGCGGCUAAACAAGUUGGGUGUGAAAGCCCCGGGCUCAACCUGGGAACGGCACUCAAAACUGUUUGGCUAGAGUACAGCAGAGGUAAGUGGAAUUUCCGGUGUAGCAGUGAAAUGCGUAGAGAUCGGAAGGAACACCAGUGGCGAGGGCGGCUUACUGGGCUGAUACUGACGCUGAGGCGCGAAGGCGUGGGGAGCAAACAGGAUUAGAGACCCUGGUAGUCCACGCGGUAAACGAUGAGAACUAGCUGUUGGGACGGGAAGACGUCUAAGUAGCGAAGCUAACGCGAUAAGUUCUCCGCCUGGGGAGUACGGUCGCAAGAUUAAAACUCAAAGGAAUUGACGGGGACCCGCACAAGCGGUGGAGCAUGUGGUUUAAUUCGAUGCAACGCGAAAAACCUUACCUACUCUUGACAUCCCAAGAAGGCUCUGUAAUUGGAGCUGUGCCUUCGGGAACUUGGUGACAGGUGCUGCAUGGCUGUCGUCAGCUCGUGUCGUGAGAUGUUGGGUUAAGUCCCGUAACGAGCGCAACCCUUGUCCUUAGUUACCAUCAUUUAGUUGGGGACUCUAAGGAGACUGCCGGUGACAAACCGGAGGAAGGUGGGGAUGACGUCAAGUCAUCAUGGCCUUUAUGAGUAGGGCUACACACGUGCUACAAUGGUCGGUACAGAGGGAAGCGAAGCGGUGACGUGGAGCCAACCCCUAUAAAGCCGAUCUCAGUCCGGAUUGCAGUCUGCAACUCGACUGCAUGAAGUUGGAAUCGCUAGUAAUCGCAAAUCAGCAUGUUGCGGUGAAUACGUUCCCGGGUCUUGUACACACCGCCCGUCACACCAUGGGAGUGUAUUGUACCAGAAGCAGAUAGCCUAACCGCAAGGAGGGCGUCUACCACGGUAUGGUCCAUGACUGGGGUG